This 253-nucleotide ribosomal RNA is filed under the name uncultured bacterium. RNAcentral describes it as "partial 16S ribosomal RNA". It matches the Rfam family "Bacterial small subunit ribosomal RNA", at positions 524 to 776 of the family's 1533-position model. The record is from RNAcentral.
UACGGGGGGGGUAAGCGUUGUUCGGAAUUACUGGGCGUAAAGGGCUCGUAGGCGGCCAACUAAGUCAUACGUGAAAUCCCUCAGCUUAACUGGGGAACUGCGUCCGAUACUGGUUGGCUUGAAUCCGGGAGAGGGAUGUGGAAUUCCAGGUGUAGCGGUGAAAUGCGUAGAUAUCUGGAGGAACACCGGUGGCGAAGGCGACAUCCUGGACCGGUAUUGACGCUGAGGCGCGAAAGCCAGGGGAGCAAACGGG